This 325-nucleotide ribosomal RNA is filed under the name uncultured prokaryote. RNAcentral describes it as "bacterial SSU rRNA". It matches the Rfam family "Bacterial small subunit ribosomal RNA", at positions 26 to 352 of the family's 1533-position model. The record is from RNAcentral.
AGAUUGAACGCUGGCGGCAUGCUUUACACAUGCAAGUCGAACGGCAGCACGGGGGCAACCCUGGUGGCGAGUGGCGAACGGGUGAGUAAUGCAUCGGAACGUAUCCUUGAGUGGGGGAUAACGUAGGGAAACUUACGCUAAUACCGCAUACGACCGAGAGGUGAAAAGCGGGGGGACCGAAAGGCCUCGCGCAGCAGGAUGAGCCGAUGUCCGAUUAGCUGGUUGGUGGGGUAAAGGCCUACCAAGGCGACGAUCGGUAGCUGGUCUGAGAGGAUGAUCAGCCACACUGGGACUGAGACAGGCCCAGACUCCUACGGGAGGCAGC